UAAGCAGGUAAUGUAUAAAAGCAAAAACACAUCGAAAAACAAACAACGGAGUCUUUUCUUUCUCGCGUUCUUCUCUCCCAAAUUGAAAACCUAGCAAGAGUUCUUCUUCUUCUUUCACCGGUGACCCAAGAGAGAGGAGUCAGCAUUCUCUCCUUCAAGAACUCUUUCAAACCUGACGACCCAGAUUCUGUCUCCACUCUCAAGUGAAUCUCUGUCACUGACCUGUGACUGGCACAGGUUGUGGGAUGGCCACCAAUUUGUUCCGAGUAAAUACUGUAACACACUUUCACACUCCUUUAUGUGAUAAAAUUGCAGGCUGCUAUGAGAAAAUUGCAGAGAAUGCUAUUAACCUUCCCUAAAGUACUCUUGGUUGCAAGUAGAGCUGCCACUGCUGUUAGAGUUACUGUUGUCAAAGCUGUUCAUAACCAGAUGGAUGGGAAAUAUUGCAAUACAAAUGUCAAAGAGAUUGCCUUUGUUUGAAAGUGUAAUUUUUAGUAUUUUAAUGAUGUCACCCCAAUGAGCAAAAGCUCAUUGGAGAGAAAGAGAGAGAGAGAGAGAGAUUAGGUUAGAGGUUUUGUCAAACACAAUGUAAUUUGUGUGUGUGUAUAUGUAUAUCAGGUUUUGAAGGUUUUUAUCUUUGUUCCUUUUUAUUUUCCCCA
Quercus robur (English oak) is the source of this 659-nucleotide long non-coding RNA. RefSeq lists it as uncharacterized. The record is from RefSeq and is a predicted model, not a curated record. Lineage: Eukaryota; Viridiplantae; Streptophyta; Magnoliopsida; Fagales; Fagaceae. The transcript is spliced from 2 exons.